Homo sapiens (human) is the source of this 2100-nucleotide long non-coding RNA. RefSeq annotates it as FBXO38 divergent transcript. The transcript has 5 exons. NCBI's taxonomy places the organism in Eukaryota, Metazoa, Chordata, Mammalia, Primates, Hominidae. The record is from RefSeq and is marked validated.
CAUGUUCAGCGUGGCAUUUCGGAAGGCUUGUCAGGGGUGGAGAAGCGGGGCGGGUUGCUGUUCUUUCACCUGACACUAAAGCGCCAUGCCGGAAGCACUGAGUCUGAUACGUCGGAACCAGUCUCCACCGUGUGGUUUGGUCUUGAUUUCCACUGGUACUCUGGGGUCUUGGAUAAGUCUCUGGACCUCGCCUUUGUCAUUUGCGAAGUCGAUAGGUUCCAAUAGAGAUUUUCCCAGAAUCAUUCAACUAAAAAUAGAGAACUUUUUUUUUUUGAGAGGAAGGACGGGGGCGCAGUUAAAGAUGUUAAUGUUAAGUCAUCCCUUCUGUGAUUUCGGGACAUUAUCUUUGCACGCCAUGUGAAGAUGUGCUUGCUUCCUUGUCACCUUCCGCCAUGAUUGUAAGUUUCCUGAGGCCUCCCAGGAAGCAGAAGCCUGUACAGCCCACAGAACCAUGACCUGAUGAAAUCUCUUUUCUUUAUAAAUUACCCAGUCUCAGAUCUUGCUAUGCUUGUCAUUGUGUAAGCAGCAAACUUGCAGUGACCAGUUGGAUUCCACCCCCCUGAUGUUGGUGGUGUGCUCUUGGGGAGAUGUCUUCCAGACAGGCAAAGAAGAGUGACAUCAUCAGAGCAUGGACGACCUCAAAGAUAUUCCAGCUAUGCUCCAGAGAGAGCCAUCCUGAUGGAACCUACUGACCAGGGGGACACAAAAGAAAAGAGGGAGGAGAUGAAAGAAGGUGAGGGUCUCUAUUGCCAGCAGAACUGGACUGUGUGUUUAACUGGAAAGCUGAUGGAGAAUGUAGUUAGGCACAGCUCUCUGGACCCUUCUAGUGAAAUAAAGAACUAGUUAAAUAAGGCAAGACAGAAGAAUGAGGCUGCCAUCUAGAUGUAGUAACAGGUAAUGUUCCAGGGCACAAGGGAGCCAAAGGAAGAGAGUUUCUUCACUUUUUAUUCUCUGCAGUCUUCAUACAUAAUAAUGAUCUCAUUCCUCUAUAUUAGUCAAGAUCUUCCCAUUAUAAGUGACGAAUUAUAACCAGAUUAAACCAAAAAGUAAAAUAAUUUAUUGACUGAUUGAUAUGGUUUGGAUUUGUGUCCCCGCCCAAAUCUCAUGUAGAAUUGUAAUCCCCAGUGCCAGUUGGAGGUGGGUCCUGGUGGGAGGUGAUGGGAUCAUGUGGGUGGUUUCUCAUGGUGUAACGCAAUCCACCUUGGUGCUGUCGUCACGAUGGUGAGUCCUCAUGAGAUCUGGUUGUUUCAAGGUGUGUGGCACCUCACCUCUCUCUCUCUCUUCUCCUGCUCCCACCACGUGAGGCACCUCUCUCCCCCUUUGCCUUUUGCCAUGAUUGGAAACUUCCUGAGGCCUCCCCAGAAGCAGAAGCCCCUAUGCUUCCUGCACAGCCUGCAGAACCAGGAAACAAAAGGAGGGUGUUAGAGGAAAAAGAGGGAAACCCACUGACAGAGAGGAAGGCUGAAGAGAUCCCACCGCUGACUUGGACUAAGGAGAGAGAAGUCAAAGAGUGGUUACCUGGAUGAGGUGGCUGAAUAUGGGCCUGCUCUUGUCACUUUGGAUGUCACAACUAGCCUUGAGAAGAGCUGCUGUUCCAGGAGUCUGUCACAACUAGCCUUGAGAAGAGCUGCUGUUCCAGGAGUCUGUAGCCAAGGACGUACAGCAGUGGAGGCUGACUCAUCGCAUAGCUGAGUGACCAAUUGCUUGGCAUGAGUUUACUUUAAUGGCUGUUUCUGAGUUUGAUCCCUCUCCGGAACCAACCCCUCUGAUGUGUCCUGUUCCAGCAGGAAGAGACAGACCUGGAGGUUCUGUACUUGUGAUUUCUGGUUGUGGAUCCUGAGAACAAGAAGUACUGGGAUCCUAAAGUUCUGACAUUUGCAAAGCAGAUUAAUGACCUACCACAUUCCAGAUCAUUUGGUGAUUUUGUGUGUGCGUGUGGGUGUGUGUGUGUGUGUGCCAAAUUCAAGGUGGUCCCAGCCUUUCUAGUCUUCUCUAACCUUUCUUCUCAGAAGUCGCACCUGUUCUGUCUUUCUAGGAUAUAAUUUUUUUUCUAUUAGCCUGGGUAACACCCCAACCAAUAAAGUUUGCAAUAUCCAAGCC